CAUAUCAAUAAGCGGAGGAAAAGAAACCAACAGGGAUUGCCCCAGUAACGGCGAGUGAAGCGGCAACAGCUCAAAUUUGAAAUCUGGCCCCCAGGGCCCGAGUUGUAAUUUGCAGAGGAUGCUUUUGGCGCGGCGCCUUCCGAGUUCCCUGGAACGGGACGCCAUAGAGGGUGAGAGCCCCGUCUGGUCGGACGCCAAGCCAGUGUAAAGCUCCUUCGACGAGUCGAGUAGUUUGGGAAUGCUGCUCUAAAUGGGAGGUAUAUGUCUUCUAAAGCUAAAUAUAGGCCAGAGACCGAUAGCGCACAAGUAGAGUGAUCGAAAGAUGAAAAGCACUUUGAAAAGAGGGUUAAACAGUACGUGAAAUUGUUGAAAGGGAAGCACUUGUGACCAGACUUGGGCCCGGUGAAUCAUCCAGCGUUCUCGCUGGUGCACUUCGCCGGGCCCAGGCCAGCAUCAGUUCGCCGCGGGGGAUAAAAGCUUCGGGAACGUAGCUCCCUCGGGAGUGUUAUAGCCCGUUGCAUAAUACCCUGCGGUGGACUGAGGUUCGCGCUCCGCAAGGAUGCUGGCGUAAUGGUCACCAGUGACCCGUCUUGAAACACGGACCAAGGAGUCGUCUUCGUAUGCGAGUGUUCGGGUGUCAAACCCCUACGCGUAAUGAAAGUGAACGCAGGUGAGAGCUUCGGCGCAUCAUCGACCGAUCCUGAUGUUCUCGGAUGGAUUUGAGUAAGAGCAUACGGGGCCGGACCCGAAAGAAGGUGAACUAUGCCUGUAUAGGGUGAAGCCAGAGGAAACUCUGGUGGAGGCUCGCAGCGGUUCUGACGUGCAAAUCGAUCGUCAAAUAUGGGCAUGGGGGCGAAAGACUAAUCGAACCUUCUAGUAGCUGGUUUCCGCCGAAGUUUCCCUCAGGAUAGCAGUGUUGAACUCAGUUUUAUGAGGUAAAGCGAAUGAUUAGGGACCCGGGGGCGCUCUUUAGCCUUCAUCCAUUCUCAAACUUUAAAUAUGUAAGAAGCCCUUGUUGCUUAAUUGAACGUGGGCAUUCGAAUGUAUCAACACUAGUGGGCCAUUUUUGGUAAGCAGAACUGGCGAUGCGGGAUGAACCGAACGCGAGGUUAAGGUGCCAGAGUAGACGCUCAUCAGACACCACAAAAGGCGUUAGUACAUCUUGACAGCAGGACGGUGGCCAUGGAAGUCGGAAUCCGCUAAGGACUGUGUAACAACUCACCUGCCGAAUGUACUAGCCCUGAAAAUGGAUGGCGCUCAAGCGUCUCACCCAUACCUCGCCCUCAGGGUAGAAACGAAGCCCUGAGGAGUAGGCGGACGUGGAGGUCGUGACGAAGCCUAGGGCGUGAGCCCGGGUCGAACGGCCUCUAGUGCAGAUCUUGGUGGUAGUAGCAAAUACUUCAAUGAGAACUUGAAGGA
RNAcentral lists this ribosomal RNA (1419 nucleotides) under Ophiocordyceps sinensis. RNAcentral's name for it is "eukaryotic LSU rRNA". It matches the Rfam family "Eukaryotic large subunit ribosomal RNA", at positions 39 to 1490 of the family's 3401-position model. Lineage: Eukaryota; Fungi; Ascomycota; Sordariomycetes; Hypocreales; Ophiocordycipitaceae. The record is from RNAcentral.